GGCCUCAUCGUCUAAAGGUUAGGACACCGCUCUUUCAAGGCGGCAAUGGCGGUUCGAUUCCGCCUGGGGCCACCA
This 75-nucleotide transfer RNA is filed under the name bacterium. RNAcentral describes it as "tRNA-Glu". It matches the Rfam family "tRNA". Rfam says of the family: Transfer RNA (tRNA) molecules are approximately 80 nucleotides in length. Their secondary structure includes four short double-helical elements and three loops (D, anti-codon, and T loops). Further hydrogen bonds mediate the characteristic L-shaped molecular structure. tRNAs have two regions of fundamental functional importance: the anti-codon, which is responsible for specific mRNA codon recognition, and the 3' end, to which the tRNAs corresponding amino acid is attached (by aminoacyl-tRNA synthetases). tRNAs cope with the degeneracy of the genetic code in two manners: having more than one tRNA (with a specific anti-codon) for a particular amino acid; and 'wobble' base-pairing, i.e. permitting non-standard base-pairing at the 3rd anti-codon position. The record is from RNAcentral. RNAcentral also lists the same sequence under 2 other names.